GAUGAACGCUGGCGGCGUGCCUAAUACAUGCAAGUCGAGCGAACAGACGAGGAGCUUGCUCCUCUGACGUUAGCGGCGGACGGGUGAGUAACACGUGGAUAACCUACCUUUAAGACUGGGAUAACUUCGGGAAACCGGAGCUAAUACCGGAUAAUAUAUUGAACCGCAUGGUUCAAUAGUGAAAGACGGAUUUGCUGUCACUUAUAGAUGGAUCCGCGCCGCAGUAGCUAGUUGGUAAGGUAACGGCUUACCAAGGAAACGAUGCGCAGCCGACCGGGGGGGGGGAUGGGGCACACUCGAACUGAGACACGGUCCAGACUCCCACGGGAGGGAGCAGUAGGGGAUCUUCCGCAAUGUGCGAGAGCGGUACGCAGCAACGCCGCGCGAGUGAGGAAGAUCUUCGGAUCGUAAAACUCUGUUAUUAGGGAAGAACAAAAGUGUAAGUGAUUAUAAACGUGUUGACGGUACCGAUACAGAAAGCCACGGCUAACUACGUG
RNAcentral lists this ribosomal RNA (497 nucleotides) under uncultured bacterium. RNAcentral describes it as "partial 16S ribosomal RNA". It matches the Rfam family "Bacterial small subunit ribosomal RNA", at positions 28 to 507 of the family's 1533-position model. The record is from RNAcentral.